ACUAACUCUAGCCCUUACCUCGAUCAACUAAACUAUUUAACUCUGUUAACUAAAACAUUUACUUAUUUAAGUAUUGGUGAAAGAAACUUUAUUUGAGGAGCUAUAGAAACAGUACCGCAAGGGAAAGAUGAAAGAUAAAUUAAAAGUACUAAAAAGCAAAGCUAAACCCUUGUACCUUUUGCAUAAUGAACUAACUAGAAAACCCCCGGCUAAGAGACCUGCAGUCGGGAACCCCGAAACCAAACGAGCUACCUAAGAGCAACUUUAUGAGUGCACCCGUCUAUAUGGCAAAAUAGUGGGAAGACUUUUAGGUAGAGGUGAAAAGCCUAACGAGCUUGGUGAUUGCUGGUUACCCAAUAAAGAAUUUUAGUUCAACUUUAAUCUUGCCCCAAGAAACUAGAAUCCUAAUGCAAGGUUAAAAUAUAGCCUAAAGAGGGACAGCCCUUUAGGAAUGGAUACAACCUUUAGCAGUGAGUAAGGUAAAAUAUUUGAUAACCAUAGUUGGCUUAAAAGCAGCCAUCAAUAAAGAAAGCGUUCAAGCUCAACACUUAAAUCAGUCUAAUUCCCAACAUCUCACCUACCUCCUGCAAUUACAAUUGGGUCAAUCUAUUAAUAAAUAGAUGAGAUACUGUUAGUAUGAGUAACAAGAAUAAUAUUCUCCUUGCACAAGCAUAUAACAACCCGGAUAACCAUUGUUAGUUAACACUCAUAUAAGUGCAUACUCCCACUAUUAAUUCACUUAUUACCCCAUGUUAAUCCAACACAGGUGUGCUUAAAGGAAAGAUUAAAAGAAGUAAGAGGAACUCGGCAAACACGAAUCCCGCCUGUUUACCAAAAACAUAACCUCUAGCAUUAAAAGUAUUAGAGGCAAUGCCUGCCCGGUGACUAAGUUUAACGGCCGCGGUAUCCUGACCGUGCAAAGGUAGCAUAAUCACUUGUUCCUUAAUUGGGGACUAGCAUGAACGGCUAAACGAGGAUUCAACUGUCUUUUACUUCUGAUCAGUGAAAUUGACCUUCCCGUGAAGAGGCGGGAAUAUCAUAAUAAGACGAGAAGACCCUAUGGAGCUUUAGUCCAACUUCUUAGCCUCUACAAUCAACAACCUACUGGCUUAAAUAUAAAGGCAUAAGAUAAGGACUUCGGUUGGGGUGACCUCGGAGCAUAAAAAAGCCUCCGAAUGAUUACAGCUAAGGCCCACAAGCCAAGGCACCUCUAAUCUUAUUGAUCCAAAUAUAAUUGAUCAACGGACCAAGUUACCCUAGGGAUAACAGCGCAAUCCUAUUCGAGAGUCCAUAUCGACAAUUAGGGUUUACGACCUCGAUGUUGGAUCAGGACAUCCCAAUGGUGUAGCAGCUAUUAAAGGUUCGUUUGUUCAACGAUUAAAGUCCUACGUGAUCUGAGUUCAGACCGGAGUAAUCCAGGUCGGUUUCUAUCUAUUUACGAUUUCUCCCAGUACGAAAGGACAAGAGAAAUGGAGCCUCCUUAUCAAAAGCGCCCCCAAACAAUUCAUGAGUACAUCUCAAUGAAGUAAAUCCGUACAACCCUCCCCAAGACAAGGGUU
RNAcentral lists this ribosomal RNA (1559 nucleotides) under Cricetus cricetus (black-bellied hamster). RNAcentral's name for it is "16S ribosomal RNA". It matches the Rfam family "Bacterial large subunit ribosomal RNA". Lineage: Eukaryota; Metazoa; Chordata; Mammalia; Rodentia; Cricetidae. The record is from RNAcentral.